CAGCCGCCGCGGGAAAACGAAGGGGGCUAGCGUUGCUCGGAAUUACUGGGCGUAAAGCGCACGUAGGCGGAUAUUUAAGUCAGGGGUGAAAUCCCGCAGCUCAACUGCGGAACUGCCUUUGAUACUGGGUAUCUUGAGUAUGGAAGAGGUUAGUGGAAUUGCGAGUGUAGAGGUGAAAUUCGUAGAUAUUCGCAGGAACACCAGUGGCGAAGGCGGCUAACUGGUCCAUAACUGACGCUGAGGUGCGAAAGCGUGGGGAGCAAACAGGAUUAGAUACCCCCGUAGUCCCUGUCUCUUAUAC
Molecule: ribosomal RNA, 301 nt
Filed under: uncultured bacterium
Lineage: Bacteria
Description: partial 16S ribosomal RNA
Rfam family: Bacterial small subunit ribosomal RNA
Source: RNAcentral